This 261-nucleotide ribosomal RNA is filed under the name uncultured archaeon. RNAcentral describes it as "partial 16S ribosomal RNA". It matches the Rfam family "Archaeal small subunit ribosomal RNA", at positions 748 to 1008 of the family's 1478-position model. The record is from RNAcentral.
CAGCCGUAAACUAUGCGCGUUAGGUGUACUGGUGACCACGAGUCACCGGGGUGCCGAAGGGAAACCGUGAAACGUGCCGCCUGGGAAGUACGGUCGCAAGGCUGAAACUUAAAGGAAUUGGCGGGGAGCACCACAACGGGUGGAGCCUGCGGUUUAAUUGGACUCAACGCCGGAAAUACUCACCGGAUAGGACAGACAUAUGAUAGUCGGGCUGAAGACUCUACUUGAUGAUCUGAGAGGAGGUGCAUGGCGUCAGUGACU